UACGUAGGGUCCGAGCGUUGUCCGGAAUUAUUGGGCGUAAAGGGCUCGUAGGCGGUCUGUCGCGUCGGGAGUGAAAACUUACAGCUUAACUGUGAGCGUGCUUCCGAUACGGGCAGACUUGAGGUAUUCAGGGGAGAACGGAAUUCCUGGUGUAGCGGUGAAAUGCGCAGAUAUCAGGAGGAACACCGGUGGCGAAGGCGGUUCUCUGGGAAUAUCCUGACGCUGAGGAGCGAAAGUGUGGGGAGCGAAUAGG
Molecule: ribosomal RNA, 253 nt
Filed under: uncultured bacterium
Lineage: Bacteria
Description: partial 16S ribosomal RNA
Rfam family: Bacterial small subunit ribosomal RNA
Source: RNAcentral